UACGUAGGGGGCAAGCGUUGUCCGGAAUCAUUGGGCGUAAAGAGCGUGUAGGCGGCCGUACAGGUCAGCUGUGAAAACUCGAGGCUCAACCUCGAGACGUCGGUUGAAACCGUACGGCUAGAGUCCGGAAGAGGAGAGUGGAAUUCCCGGUGUAGCGGUGAAAUGCGCAGAUAUCGGGAAGAACACCCGUGGCGAAGGCGGCUCUCUGGGACGGUACUGACGCUGAGACGCGAAAGCGUGGGGAGCAAACAGG
RNAcentral lists this ribosomal RNA (253 nucleotides) under uncultured bacterium. Its description in RNAcentral is "partial 16S ribosomal RNA". It matches the Rfam family "Bacterial small subunit ribosomal RNA", at positions 524 to 776 of the family's 1533-position model. The record is from RNAcentral.